AGAGUUUGAUCAUGGCUCAGGACGAACGCUGGCGGCGUGCUUAACACAUGCAAGUCAAGGGGGCCCGCAAGGGCAACCGGCGAACGGGUGCGUAACACGUGAGCAACCUGCCUAGAUGUGGGGGAUAGCCGGCCCAACGGCCGGGUAAUACCGCAUAGGUUCUUCGGGGGGAGUCCUCGGGAGAGCAAACCUGUCGCAAGACGGGGCAUUUAGAGGGGCUCGCGGCCUAUCAGCUAGUUGGCGGGGUCAUAGCCCACCAAGGCGACGACGGGUAACUGGUCUGAGAGGAUGGCCAGCCACAUUGGGACUGAGAAACGGCCCAGACUCCUACGGGAGGCAGCAGUGGGGAAUCUUGCGCAAUGGCCGAAAGGCUGACGCAGCGACGCCGCGUGUGGGAGGAAGCUCUUCGGGGUGUAAACCACUGUUGCCCGGGACGAACAUCCACUUUCGAGUGGACUGACGGUACCGGGUGAGGAAGCACCGGCUAACUCUGUGCUAGCAGCCGCGGUAAUUC
This 514-nucleotide ribosomal RNA is filed under the name uncultured bacterium. RNAcentral's name for it is "bacterial SSU rRNA". It matches the Rfam family "Bacterial small subunit ribosomal RNA", at positions 8 to 526 of the family's 1533-position model. The record is from RNAcentral.